This 28-nucleotide non-coding RNA is filed under the name Macaca fascicularis (crab-eating macaque). RNAcentral also lists the same sequence under 1 other name. The record is from RNAcentral. Lineage: Eukaryota; Metazoa; Chordata; Mammalia; Primates; Cercopithecidae.
UGGAGUCCAGUAAUCCAAAGAUGUAGCC